UCGGACGUGGUGUACGGCGCACAACCGCUCUUCUUACGCAAUAGGUGACAAAUAGGUGAAGGCGGGAGGCCUGGGUUCGACUCCCGGCGUCCGAG
Mycena vulgaris is the source of this 95-nucleotide non-coding RNA. NCBI's taxonomy places the organism in Eukaryota, Fungi, Basidiomycota, Agaricomycetes, Agaricales, Mycenaceae. The record is from the annotation of a GenBank genome assembly.